UUGGAGGCAGCAGUGAGGAAUUUUGCGCAAUGGGGGAAACCCUGACGCAGCAACGCCGCGUGGAGGAUGAAGUCCUUCGGGACGUAAACUCCUUUCGAUCGGGACGAUUAUGACGGUACCGGAAGAAGAAGCCCCGGCUAACUUCGUGCCAGCAGCCGCGGUAAUACGAGGGGGGCGAGCGUUGUUCGGAAUUAUUGGGCGUAAAGGGUGCGUAGGCGGUUUGGUAAGUCUUGUGUGAAAUCUCCGGGCUCAACUCGGAGCCUGCACGAGAAACUGCCGGGCUUGAGUAUGGGAGAGGUGAGUGGAAUUCCUGGUGUAGCGGUGAAAUGCGUAGAUAUCAGGAGGAACACCUGUGGCGAAAGCGGCUCACUGGACCAUAACUGACGCUGAUGCACGAAAGCUAGGGGAGCAAACAGGAUUAGAUACCCCUGUAGUCC
RNAcentral lists this ribosomal RNA (437 nucleotides) under uncultured bacterium. RNAcentral describes it as "bacterial SSU rRNA". It matches the Rfam family "Bacterial small subunit ribosomal RNA", at positions 342 to 796 of the family's 1533-position model. The record is from RNAcentral.